RNAcentral lists this ribosomal RNA (906 nucleotides) under Penicillium parvum. RNAcentral's name for it is "LSU rRNA". It matches the Rfam family "Eukaryotic large subunit ribosomal RNA", at positions 38 to 963 of the family's 3401-position model. The record is from RNAcentral. Lineage: Eukaryota; Fungi; Ascomycota; Eurotiomycetes; Eurotiales; Aspergillaceae.
GCAUAUCAAUAAGCGGAGGAAAAGAAACCAACAGGGAUUGCCUCAGUAACGGCGAGUGAAGCGGCAAGAGCUCAAAUUUGAAAGCUGGCUCCUUCGGGGUCCGCAUUGUAAUUUGCAGAGGAUGCUUCGGGAGCGGUCCCCAUCUAAGUGCCCUGGAACGGGCCGUCAUAGAGGGUGAGAAUCCCGUAUGGGAUGGGGUGCCCGCGACCAUGUGAAGCUCCUUCGACGAGUCGAGUUGUUUGGGAAUGCAGCUCUAAAUGGGUGGUAAAUUUCAUCUAAAGCUAAAUAUUGGCCGGAGACCGAUAGCGCACAAGUAGAGUGAUCGAAAGAUGAAAAGCACUUUGAAAAGAGAGUUAAAAAGCACGUGAAAUUGUUGAAAGGGAAGCGCUUGCGACCAGACUCGCCCGCGGGGUUCAGCCGGUAUUCGUACCGGUGUACUUCCCCGUGGGCGGGCCAGCGUCGGUUUGGGCGGCCGGUCAAAGGCCCUCGGAAUGUAACGCCUCUCGGGGCGUCUUAUAGCCGAGGGUGCCAUGCGGCCAGCCCGGACCGAGGAACGCGCUUCGGCACGGACGCUGGCAUAAUGGUCGUAAGCGACCCGUCUUGAAACACGGACCAAGGAGUCUAACAUCUACGCGAGUGUUCGGGUGUCAAACCCGUGCGCGCAGUGAAAGCGAACGGAGGUGGGAACCCUUUGGGUGCACCAUCGACCGAUCCUGAUGUCUUCGGAUGGAUUUGAGUAAGAGCGUAGCUGUUGGGACCCGAAAGAUGGUGAACUAUGCCUGAAUAGGGCGAAGCCAGAGGAAACUCUGGUGGAGGCUCGCAGCGGUUCUGACGUGCAAAUCGAUCGUCAAAUUUGGGUAUAGGGGCGAAAGACUAAUCGAACCAUCUAGUAGCUGGUUCCUGCGA